RNAcentral lists this ribosomal RNA (585 nucleotides) under uncultured bacterium. RNAcentral describes it as "partial 16S ribosomal RNA". It matches the Rfam family "Bacterial small subunit ribosomal RNA", at positions 356 to 935 of the family's 1533-position model. The record is from RNAcentral.
UGGGGAAUUUGGACAAUGGGCGAAAGCCUGAUCCAGCAAUGCCGCGUGUGUGAAGAAGGCCUUCGGGUUGUAAAGCACUUUUGUCCGGAAAGAAAUCCUUGGCUCUAAUACAGUCGGGGGAUGACGGUACCGGAAGAAUAAGCACCGGCUAACUACGUGCCAGCAGCCGCGGUAAUACGUAGGGUGCAAGCGUUAAUCGGAAUUACUGGGCGUAAAGCGUGCGCAGGCGGUUUGCUAAGACCGAUGUGAAAUCCCCGGGCUCAACCUGGGAACUGCAUUGGUGACUGGCAGGCUAGAGUAUGGCAGAGGGGGGUAGAAUUCCACGUGUAGCAGUGAAAUGCGUAGAGAUGUGGAGGAAUACCGAUGGCGAAGGCAGCCCCCUGGGCCAAUACUGACGCUCAUGCACGAAAGCGUGGGGAGCAAAACAGGAUUAGAUACCCCUGGUAGUCCACGCCCUAAAACGAUGUCAACUAGUUGUUGGGGAUUCAUUUCCUUAGUAACGUAGCUAACGCGUGAAGUUGACCGCCUGGGGGAGUACGGUCGCAAGAUUAAAACUUAAAUGAAUUGACGGGGUCAUAGCUGUUU